Molecule: ribosomal RNA, 842 nt
Filed under: Bacillus sp. EC26
Lineage: Bacteria; Bacillati; Bacillota; Bacilli; Caryophanales; Bacillaceae
Description: bacterial SSU rRNA
Rfam family: Bacterial small subunit ribosomal RNA
Source: RNAcentral
GCCUAUCAUGCAAGUCGAGCGGAUCUUCAUUAGCUUGCUUUUGAAGAUCAGCGGCGGACGGGUGAGUAACACGUGGGCAACCUGCCUGUAAGACUGGGAUAACUUCGGGAAACCGGAGCUAAUACCGGAUAAUCCUUUCCCUCUCAUGAGGGAAAGCUGAAAGACGGUUUCGGCUGUCACUUACAGAUGGGCCCGCGGCGCAUUAGCUAGUUGGUGAGGUAACGGCUCACCAAGGCAACGAUGCGUAGCCGACCUGAGAGGGUGAUCGGCCACACUGGGACUGAGACACGGCCCAGACUCCUACGGGAGGCAGCAGUAGGGAAUCUUCCGCAAUGGACGAAAGUCUGACGGAGCAACGCCGCGUGAACGAUGAAGGCUUUCGGGUCGUAAAGUUCUGUUGUCAGGGAAGAACAAGUACCGGAGUAACUGCCGGUACCUUGACGGUACCUGACCAGAAAGCCACGGCUAACUACGUGCCAGCAGCCGCGGUAAUACGUAGGUGGCAAGCGUUGUCCGGAAUUAUUGGGCGUAAAGCGCGCGCAGGCGGUUCCUUAAGUCUGAUGUGAAAGCCCCCGGCUCAACCGGGGAGGGUCAUUGGAAACUGGGGAACUUGAGUGCAGAAGAGGAGAGCGGAAUUCCACGUGUAGCGGUGAAAUGCGUAGAGAUGUGGAGGAACACCAGUGGCGAAGGCGGCUCUCUGGUCUGUAACUGACGCUGAGGCGCGAAAGCGUGGGGAGCGAACAGGAUUAGAUACCCUGGUAGUCCACGCCGUAAACGAUGAGUGCUAAGUGUUAGAGGGUUUCCGCCCUUUAGUGCUGCAGCAAACGCAUUAAGCACUCCGC